UCCAGACUCCUACGGGAGGCAGCAGUGGGGGAUAUUGCACAAUGGGGGGAACCCUGAUGCAGCGACGCCGCGUGGGUGAAGGAGCGUUUCGGCGCGUAAAGCCCUCUCGGCAGGGAAGAAGGAGGACGGUACCUGACUAAGAAGCCCCGGCUAACUACGUGCCAGCAGCCGCGGUAAUACGUAGGGGGCAAGCGUUAUCCGGAUUUACUGGGUGUAAAGGGGGCGCAGACGGCGAUGCAAGCCAGGAGUGAAAGCCCGGGGCCCAACCCCGGGACUGCUCUUGGAACUGCGUGGCUGGAGUGCAGGAGGGGCAGGCGGAAUUCCUGGUGUAGCGGUGAAAUGCGUAGAUAUCAGGAGGAACACCGGUGGCGAAGGCGGCCUGCUGGACUGCGACUGACGUUGAGGCCCGAAAGCGUGGGGAGCAAACAGGAUUAGAUACCCUAGUAUA
Molecule: ribosomal RNA, 448 nt
Filed under: uncultured bacterium
Lineage: Bacteria
Description: partial 16S ribosomal RNA
Rfam family: Bacterial small subunit ribosomal RNA
Source: RNAcentral